Molecule: ribosomal RNA, 460 nt
Filed under: uncultured bacterium
Lineage: Bacteria
Description: partial 16S ribosomal RNA
Rfam family: Bacterial small subunit ribosomal RNA
Source: RNAcentral
CCUACGGGAGGCAGCAGUGAGGAAUAUUGGUCAAUGGACGAGAGCCUGAACCAGCCAAGUAGCGUGAAGGAUGACAGCCCUAUGGGUUGUACACUUCUUUUAUAUGGGAAUAAAAUGUUCCACGUGUGGGAUUUUGUAUGUACCAUAUGAAUAAGGAUCGGCUAACUCCGUGCCAGCAGCCGCGGUAAUACGGAGGAUCCGAGCGUUAUCCGGAUUUAUUGGGUUUAAAGGGGGCGUAGGUGGUUUGUUAAGUCAGUUGUGAACGUUUGCGGGUCAACCGUAAAAGUGCAGUUGAAACUGGAAGUCUUGAGUACAGUAGAGGUAGGCGGAAUUCGUGGUGUAGCGGUGAAAUGCUUAGAUAUCACGAAGAACUCCGAUCGCGAAGGCAGCUCACUGGACUGCAACUGACGCUGAGGCUCGAAAGUGUGGGUAUCAAACAGGAUUAGAUACCCUGGUAGUC